UGCGAGUCAUUGUAGCAAUACAAGGCAGACGGCUCAGUAACGUGUAGCCAACCUAACCUAUGGACGGGAAUAACCUCGGGAAACUGAGUAUAAUGCCCGAUAGAACAUUAUGCCUGGAAUGGUUUAUGUUCCAAAUGAUUUAUCGCCGUAGGAUGGGACUGCGGCCUAUCAGUUUGUUGGUGAGGUAAUGGCCCACCAAGACUAUUACAGGUACGGGCUCUGAGAGGAGUAGCCCGGAGAUGGGUACUGAGACACGGACCCAGGCCCUAUGGGGCGCAGCAGGCGAGAAAACUUUGCAAUGUGCGAAAGCACGACAAGGUUAAUCCGAGUGGUUUCUGCUAAAGGAACCUUUUGUCGGUCCUAGAAACACCGAUGAAUAAGGGGUGGGCAAGUUCUGGUGUCAGCCGCCGCGGUAAAACCAGCACCUCAAGUGGUCAGGAUGAUUAUUGGGCCUAAAGCAUCCGUAGCCGGCGCUGUAAGUUUUCGGUUAAAUCUGUACGCUCAACGUACAGGCUGCCGGGAAUACUGCAGCGCUAGGGAGUGGGAGAGGUAGACGGUACUCGGUAGGAAGGGGUAAAAUCCUUUGAUCUAUUGAUGACCACCUGUGGCGAAGGCGGUCUACCGGAACACGUCCGACGGUGAGGGAUGAAAGCUGGGGGAGCAAACCGGAUUAGAUACCCGGGUAGUCCCAGCUGUAAACUAUGCAAACUCAGUGAUGCAUUGGCUUGUGGCCAAUGCAGUGCUGCAGGGAAGCCGUUAAGUUUGCCGCCUGGGAAGUACGUACGCAAGUAUGAAACUUAAAAGGAAUUGGCGGGGG
This 817-nucleotide ribosomal RNA is filed under the name uncultured marine archaeon. Its description in RNAcentral is "bacterial SSU rRNA". It matches the Rfam family "Archaeal small subunit ribosomal RNA", at positions 52 to 874 of the family's 1478-position model. The record is from RNAcentral.